UGCACUCACUACUGUAAGUCGCUCUGAAUAAGAACAUCUGCUAAAUGACUAAAA
This is a non-coding RNA of Salmo salar (Atlantic salmon), 54 nucleotides long. The record is from Rfam. Lineage: Eukaryota; Metazoa; Chordata; Actinopteri; Salmoniformes; Salmonidae.